Molecule: ribosomal RNA, 497 nt
Filed under: uncultured fungus
Lineage: Eukaryota; Fungi
Description: eukaryotic LSU rRNA
Rfam family: 5.8S ribosomal RNA (bases 144-297)
Source: RNAcentral
GGCUUCGGCCUGGUUAUUCAUAACCCUUUGUUGUCCGACUCUGUUGCCUCCGGGGCGACCCUGCCUUCGGGCGGGGGCUCCGGGUGGACACUUCAAACUCUUGCGUAACUUUGCAGUCUGAGUAAACUUAAUUAAUAAAUUAAAACUUUUAACAACGGAUCUCUUGGUUCUGGCAUCGAUGAAGAACGCAGCGAAAUGCGAUAAGUAAUGUGAAUUGCAGAAUUCAGUGAAUCAUCGAAUCUUUGAACGCACAUUGCGCCCCCUGGUAUUCCGGGGGGCAUGCCUGUUCGAGCGUCAUUUCACCACUCAAGCCUCGCUUGGUAUUGGGCAACGCGGUCCGCCGCGUGCCUCAAAUCGUCCGGCUGGGUCUUCUGUCCCCUAAGCGUUGUGGAAACUAUUCGCUAAAGGGUGUUCGGGAGGCUACGCCGUAAAACAACCCCAUUUCUAAGGUUGACCUCGGAUCAGGUAGGGAUACCCGCUGAACUUAAGCAUAUCAA